RNAcentral lists this non-coding RNA (24 nucleotides) under Drosophila melanogaster (fruit fly). Lineage: Eukaryota; Metazoa; Arthropoda; Insecta; Diptera; Drosophilidae. The record is from RNAcentral. RNAcentral also lists the same sequence under 2 other names.
ACCCUUGAUGAUGUAGCUCAGUGG